RNAcentral lists this ribosomal RNA (626 nucleotides) under Lactiplantibacillus plantarum. Its description in RNAcentral is "bacterial SSU rRNA". It matches the Rfam family "Bacterial small subunit ribosomal RNA", at positions 105 to 716 of the family's 1533-position model. Lineage: Bacteria; Bacillati; Bacillota; Bacilli; Lactobacillales; Lactobacillaceae. The record is from RNAcentral.
GGUGAGUAACACGUGGGAAACCUUGCCCAGAAGCGGGGGAUAACACCUGGAAACAGAUGCUAAUACCGCAUAACAACUUGGACCGCAUGGUCCGAGUUUGAAAGAUGGCUUCGGCUAUCACUUUUGGAUGGUCCCGCGGCGUAUUAGCUAGAUGGUGGGGUAACGGCUCACCAUGGCAAUGAUACGUAGCCGACCUGAGAGGGUAAUCGGCCACAUUGGGACUGAGACACGGCCCAAACUCCUACGGGAGGCAGCAGUAGGGAAUCUUCCACAAUGGACGAAAGUCUGAUGGAGCAACGCCGCGUGAGUGAAGAAGGGUUUCGGCUCGUAAAACUCUGUUGUUAAAGAAGAACAUAUCUGAGAGUAACUGUUCAGGUAUUGACGGUAUUUAACCAGAAAGCCACGGCUAACUACGUGCCAGCAGCCGCGGUAAUACGUAGGUGGCAAGCGUUGUCCGGAUUUAUUGGGCGUAAAGCGAGCGCAGGCGGUUUUUUAAGUCUGAUGUGAAAGCCUUCGGCUCAACCGAAGAAGUGCAUCGGAAACUGGGAAACUUGAGUGCAGAAGAGGACAGUGGAACUCCAUGUGUAGCGGUGAAAUGCGUAGAUAUAUGGAAGAACACCAGUGGC